GGCCAUGGGUUGUCCACAGAUUGUAUUGUACACUUGCCUGAACCUGAUUAGUUGCCUCAGCUUCCAAUUCAAAUAAACACAAAUUCACAAGUGUUAAAACCCAUAUUCUUGAAUAGAGAAUAAAAGCAUCAACCACCAAGCCAUAUUUUGGUUGUCCCCAACCGCAUCAACCAUUACCUCCAUUUGUUAAUUAAAAGAAUCAAGAACAAAACAUAGCAAAUCCAAGACAAAUAAUAAAAUUAAUAAAAA
This 249-nucleotide unclassified non-coding RNA is filed under the name Hevea brasiliensis (rubber tree). The record is from RNAcentral. Lineage: Eukaryota; Viridiplantae; Streptophyta; Magnoliopsida; Malpighiales; Euphorbiaceae.